GUACUGCUAAAGAGUCCCAAACUGGGACGAAACAACUGUCUAGUAC
Molecule: non-coding RNA, 46 nt
Filed under: Trichobilharzia regenti
Lineage: Eukaryota; Metazoa; Platyhelminthes; Trematoda; Strigeidida; Schistosomatidae
Source: RNAcentral